CGGCGGACGGGUGAGUAAUGCCUAGGAAUCUGCCUGGUAGUGGGGGACAACGUUUCGAAAGGAACGCUAAUACCGCAUACGUCCUACGGGAGAAAGCAGGGACCUUCGGGCCUUGCGCUAUCAGAUGAGCCUAGGUCGGAUUAGCUAGUUGGUGAGGUAAUGGCUCACCAAGGCGACGAUCCGUAACUGGUCUGAGAGGAUGAUCAGUCACACUGGAACUGAGACACGGUCCAGACUCCUACGGGAGGCAGCAGUC
This 256-nucleotide ribosomal RNA is filed under the name uncultured Pseudomonas sp. RNAcentral's name for it is "partial 16S ribosomal RNA". It matches the Rfam family "Bacterial small subunit ribosomal RNA", at positions 96 to 355 of the family's 1533-position model. Lineage: Bacteria; Pseudomonadati; Pseudomonadota; Gammaproteobacteria; Pseudomonadales; Pseudomonadaceae. The record is from RNAcentral.